CCGUGAGGGGAAUGAUGUAUUAUUAUCAUGCUCUCAAGAUGCUCGCCUUUCUGGAUUCAGCAUCAGAAGUAGACAUAAGG
Beta vulgaris subsp. vulgaris (sugar beet) is the source of this 80-nucleotide non-coding RNA. NCBI's taxonomy places the organism in Eukaryota, Viridiplantae, Streptophyta, Magnoliopsida, Caryophyllales, Amaranthaceae. The record is from Rfam.